Molecule: ribosomal RNA, 465 nt
Filed under: Vreelandella stevensii
Lineage: Bacteria; Pseudomonadati; Pseudomonadota; Gammaproteobacteria; Oceanospirillales; Halomonadaceae
Description: partial 16S ribosomal RNA
Rfam family: Bacterial small subunit ribosomal RNA
Source: RNAcentral
CCUACGGGUGGCUGCAGUGGGGAAUAUUGGACAAUGGGGGGAACCCUGAUCCAGCCAUGCCGCGUGUGUGAAGAAGGCCCUCGGGUUGUAAAGCACUUUCAGUGAGGAAGAACGCCUGGUGGUUAAUACCCAUCAGGAAAGACAUCACUCACAGAAGAAGCACCGGCUAACUCCGUGCCAGCAGCCGCGGUAAUACGGAGGGUGCGAGCGUUAAUCGGAAUUACUGGGCGUAAAGCGCGCGUAGGUGGCUUGAUAAGCCGGUUGUGAAAGCCCCGGGCUCAACCUGGGAACGGCAUCCGGAACUGUCAAGCUAGAGUGCAGGAGAGGAAGGUAGAAUUCCCGGUGUAGCGGUGAAAUGCGUAGAGAUCGGGAGGAAUACCAGUGGCGAAGGCGGCCUUCUGGACUGACACUAACACUGAGGUGCGAAAGCGUGGGUAGCAAACAGGAUUAGAUACCCCAGUAGUC